GCAGUCGAGCGGACAGAUGGGAGCUUGCUCCCUGAUGUUAGCGGCGGACGGGUGAGUAACACGUGGGUAACCUGCCUGUAAGACUGGGAUAACUCCGGGAAACCGGGGCUAAUACCGGAUGGUUGUUUGAACCGCAUGGUUCAAACAUAAAAGGUGGCUUCGGCUACCACUUACAGAUGGACCCGCGGCGCAUUAGCUAGUUGGUGAGGUAACGGCUCACCAAGGCAACGAUGCGUAGCCGACCUGAGAGGGUGAUCGGCCACACUGGGACUGAGACACGGCCCAGACUCCUACGGGAGGCAGCAGUAGGGAAUCUUCCGCAAUGGACGAAAGUCUGACGGAGCAACGCCGCGUGAGUGAUGAAGGUUUUCGGAUCGUAAAGCUCUGUUGUUAGGGAAGAACAAGUACCGUUCGAAUAGGGCGGUACCUUGACGGUACCUAACCAGAAAGCCACGGCUAACUACGUGCCAGCAGCCGCGGUAAUACGUAGGUGGCAAGCGUUGUCCGGAAUUAUUGGGCGUAAAGGGCUCGCAGGCGGUUUCUUAAGUCUGAUGUGAAAGCCCCCGGCUCAACCGGGGAGGGUCAUUGGAAACUGGGGAACUUGAGUGCAGAAGAGGAGAGUGGAAUUCCACGUGUAGCGGUGAAAUGCGUAGAGAUGUGGAGGAACACCAGUGGCGAAGGCGACUCUCUGGUCUGUAACUGACGCUGAGGAGCGAAAGCGUGGGGAGCGAACAGGAUUAGAUACCCUGGUAGUCCACGCCGUAAACGAUGAGUGCUAAGUGUUAGGGGGUUUCCGCCCCUUAGUGCUGCAGCUAACGCAUUAAGCACUCCGCCUGGGGAGUACGGUCGCAAGACUGAAACUC
Molecule: ribosomal RNA, 863 nt
Filed under: Bacillus subtilis
Lineage: Bacteria; Bacillati; Bacillota; Bacilli; Caryophanales; Bacillaceae
Description: bacterial SSU rRNA
Rfam family: Bacterial small subunit ribosomal RNA
Source: RNAcentral